This 175-nucleotide ribosomal RNA is filed under the name Clostridioides difficile. RNAcentral's name for it is "partial 23S ribosomal RNA". The stretch from base 1 to 152 matches the Rfam family "Bacterial large subunit ribosomal RNA", at positions 2770 to 2925 of the family's 2925-position model. Lineage: Bacteria; Bacillati; Bacillota; Clostridia; Peptostreptococcales; Peptostreptococcaceae. The record is from RNAcentral.
GCUGAAAGCAUCUAAGCGCGAAGCCAACUUCAAGAUAAGAUUUCCCACCGCAAGGGUAAGACCCCAGAAAGACUAUCUGGUUGAUAGGUCGAAGGUGUAAGUGCAGCAAUGUAUUUAGCUUAUCGAUACUAAUAGGUCGAGGACUUGACCAAUAUUUAUUUGAUGUUCAUUCACU